UGGGGAAUAUUGGACAAUGGGGGCAACCCUGAUCCAGCCACGCCGCGUGAGUGAUGAAGGCCUUCGGGUCGUAAAGCUCUGUGGGGAGGGACGAACGUCCGGGUGAAGAAUCCGGGGUGACGGUACCUCCUUAGCAAGCACCGGCUAACUUCGUGCCAGCAGCCGCGGUAAUACGAAGGGUGCAAACGUUGCUCGGAAUCAUUGGGCGUAAAGCGCACGUAGGCGGCUUCAAAAGUCGGAUGUGAAAUCCCACGGCUCAACCGUGGACGUGCAUCCGAAACUGGGAGGCUUGAGUACUGAAGAGGAUCGCGGAAUUCCCGGUGUAGAGGUGAAAUUCGUAGAUAUCGGGAGGAACACCAGUGGCGAAGGCGGCGAUCUGGGCAGAUACUGACGCUGAGGUGCGAAAGCGUGGGGAGCAAACAG
RNAcentral lists this ribosomal RNA (423 nucleotides) under uncultured bacterium. Its description in RNAcentral is "bacterial SSU rRNA". It matches the Rfam family "Bacterial small subunit ribosomal RNA", at positions 355 to 775 of the family's 1533-position model. The record is from RNAcentral.